RNAcentral lists this ribosomal RNA (253 nucleotides) under uncultured bacterium. Its description in RNAcentral is "partial 16S ribosomal RNA". It matches the Rfam family "Bacterial small subunit ribosomal RNA", at positions 524 to 776 of the family's 1533-position model. The record is from RNAcentral.
UACGUAGGUGGCAAGCGUUGUCCGGAUUUACUGGGCGUAAAGAGCGCGCAGGCGGCCAAGUCAGUCGAACGUGAAAGCCCCCGGCUUAACUGGGGAGGGUCAUUCGAUACUGCUCGGCUCGAAGACAGGAGAGGGAAGUGGAAUUCCAGGUGUAGCGGUGAAAUGCGUAGAUAUCUGAAGGAACACCAGUGGCGAAAGCGGCUUCCUGGUCCAGUACCGACGUUCAGGCACGAAAGCGUGGGGAGCAAACAGG